AAGACCUUGCACUUUUGGAGCGGCCGAUGUCUGAUUAGCUAGUUGGUGAGGUAAUGGCCUACCAAAGCUUCGAUCAGUAGCUGGUCUGAGAGGACGGCCAGCCACACUGGGACUGAGACACGGCCCAGACUCCUACGGGAGGCAGCAGUGGGGAAUUUUGGACAAUGGGCGCAAGCCUGAUCCAGCCAUGCCGCGUGAGUGAAGAAGGCCUUCGGGUUGUAAAGCUCUUUCAGCCGGGAAGAAAAGGUUGCGAUUAAUAAUCGCAAUUUAUGACGGUACCGGAAGAAGAAGCACCGGCUAACUACGUGCCAGCAGCCGCGGUAAUACGUAGGGUGCGAGCGUUAAUCGGAAUUACUGGGCGUAAAGGGUGCGCAGGCGGUUUUGUAAGUCAGAUGUGAAAUCCCCGGGCUUAACCUGGGAACU
RNAcentral lists this ribosomal RNA (423 nucleotides) under uncultured bacterium. RNAcentral's name for it is "bacterial SSU rRNA". It matches the Rfam family "Bacterial small subunit ribosomal RNA", at positions 207 to 622 of the family's 1533-position model. The record is from RNAcentral.